Molecule: ribosomal RNA, 532 nt
Filed under: uncultured bacterium
Lineage: Bacteria
Description: bacterial SSU rRNA
Rfam family: Bacterial small subunit ribosomal RNA
Source: RNAcentral
AAUAGAUACCCAGGUAGUCCACGCCGUAAACGAUGAGUGCUAAGUGUUAGAGGGUUUCCGCCCUUUAGUGCUGCAGCUAACGCAUUAAGCACUCCGCCUGGGGAGUACGGCCGCAAGGCUGAAACUCAAAGGAAUUGACGGGGGCCCGCACGAAGCGGUGGAGCAUGUGGUUUAAUUCGAAGCAACGCGAAGAACCUUACCAGGUCUUGACAUCUCCUGACAAUCCUAGAGAUAGGACGUUCCCCUUCGGGGGACAGGAUGACAGGUGGUGCAUGGUUGUCGUCAGCUCGUGUCGUGAGAUGUUGGGUUAAGUCCCGCAACGAGCGCAACCCUUGAUCUUAGUUGCCAGCAUUCAGUUGGGCACUCUAAGGUGACUGCCGGUGACAAACCGGAGGAAGGUGGGGAUGACGUCAAAUCAUCAUGCCCCCUUAUGACCUGGGCUACACACGUGCUACAAUGGAUGGUACAAAGGGCUGCAAAACCGCGAGGUUAAGCCAAUCCCAUAAAACCCAUUCUCAGUUCGGAUUGCAGG